CCAACCCUAAUCAUAUAAACAUCUCCCUCAUUAUGACCUUGUCCACCCAUUAGACCAGUAAUUUCUCACCGCCAUGUGCUCGUACUCUGCUAGUGGAGUUCACAUGAGACAAAAGUAUUCUGAGAGAUCUCAGCCUCCAAAAGGAAACAAAAGAAGAAGAGAGAGACAACUUUCUCUAAGCUCACAGAAAGACCAGAAGUUAGAGAUUCCUUUUCUCUCAUAACCUGUAGGCCAGCCACUGGAACUAGCAAACCUGGUUGUCUGCUCGCUUAACUCUCCUUUCGUUGAACCGACGAGAGAAGUUAACUUUGAAUCCAUACAAAAGGGAGGUCAGUGAGAGGGAGUAUGGGGUAUCUCAGAGUAGUCGCAGCGGUUUGGAUGGCUCUUCUCGCGCUUCCAGUCCUCUCCUUCCUCCAUCAACAACCUACAGCUGCUGGCGCCAUCAGGCUGCACGAUGACCGGAGACCGACGCCGGUUAGAGGAACGAGUACAACGACGACGGAUGGGAUGCCUUGGUGGUGGAAUCAGGAUUACGCUCGUGUAAGCGAUCGAAGACCCAUUAACAACAGGUUCAUUCCAUGAGUGGAAGAGGGCGAGAACUUAGUAUCUCGUAAGUUGCACUGAUAGAAAUCUGCAGUUCAUAUAGUACGUAUAGUUUUGGGUUAGCAGUUCUCAUAUAUUCUCAAGAUGUUUAGUACGUGAAUGCAAUACUUAACUCAAUCCCAUGGAAAAAGGAAUACAGUGUUCUUGA
Molecule: long non-coding RNA, 751 nt
Organism: Musa acuminata AAA Group (dessert banana)
Lineage: Eukaryota; Viridiplantae; Streptophyta; Magnoliopsida; Zingiberales; Musaceae
Exons: 2
Source: RefSeq, a predicted model, not a curated record